GCGAUGCUGCCCGGCCCGUGCAGGAACACUUAAAAUCCCAGGGCCUAUAAACGAUUUCAUCGGGAGCUGUCCCUGUCUCGGGCCGUGGUCUGGGACAAACGGCGCCCACCUACGCGAGUAGGGACCAGGGAUCGUUCGUUCCCACGGCCAUGGUGGCUCGCC
This 162-nucleotide non-coding RNA is filed under the name Alphaproteobacteria bacterium. RNAcentral describes it as "6S RNA". It matches the Rfam family "6S / SsrS RNA". Rfam says of the family: E. coli 6S RNA was the first non coding RNA to be sequenced, but its function was unknown until recently. It consists of 184 nucleotides that fold into an extended hairpin structure with a large single-stranded internal bulge. Lineage: Bacteria; Pseudomonadati; Pseudomonadota; Alphaproteobacteria. The record is from RNAcentral.